Molecule: ribosomal RNA, 463 nt
Filed under: uncultured bacterium
Lineage: Bacteria
Description: partial 16S ribosomal RNA
Rfam family: Bacterial small subunit ribosomal RNA
Source: RNAcentral
GACGAACGCUGGCGGCGUGCUUAACACAUGCAAGUCGAACGGUGAACCUUUUCUGAGGUGGUCAAUGGCGAACGGGUGAGUAACACGUGGCCAACCUGCCCCCGGCUCUGGCAUAACUCCACGACUUAUAGGCCAAUACCGGAGGUUCACCGCUUCGCGCAUGGGUGGGGGUGGACAGGGUUGUAGUCUGGGGAUGGGUGCGCGGCCUGUGAGCCAGUUGGUGGGGUAGUGGCCUACCAAGGCGACGACGAGUAGCCGGCCGGAGUGGGUGACCGGCCACACUGGGACUGAGACGCGGCCCAGACUCCUACGGGAGGCAGCAGUGGGGAAUAUUGCGCAGUGAGCGGAGGACUGACGCAGCGACGACGCGUGGGGGAUGACGGCCUUCGAGGUGUAGACCUCUUUCAGCAGGGACGAAGCGCAAGUGACGGUACCUGCAGAAGAAGCACCGGCUAACUACGUG